RNAcentral lists this long non-coding RNA (5766 nucleotides) under Phaseolus vulgaris (common bean). RNAcentral's name for it is "long non-coding RNA (PVUL_LNC005226)". The record is from RNAcentral. Lineage: Eukaryota; Viridiplantae; Streptophyta; Magnoliopsida; Fabales; Fabaceae.
CACAUUUCACUCUUUUUGAAACCCUUCUCUUCCUUCUUCCACUUCGUCAAACCCAAAACCUCUUCUUAAUUCCUCCAUCAAUCUUAAGCCACCAUGUCUUCCUUCAAGACCAAAUAUCAAGGUACUUAACGUUGUUUCAUUACUAUUUUGUCUUACAUGCCUUCCAGUUUUUUCGAUUUGUCGUUGAUUUCUCACACCACUCUUUCUUUUUUCAUCUUGUGUGUGUUCUUUGUGUUGAACGAUUGUGUUUAUCUACUAGGCGUCUGAUUUUGUCUUCUGGGUAUGACUAUUUAGAUGUAAAGGUUUGAUCUUUUCUCUACCUUGCUUCACAUUUGGCGACCUGUGAUGACUGAAUAAAUUUAAAUUUAUAGAUCCAAAUUUCGAUCUGUGUUUGAGUAUUUUUUCAGUUGAAAAAAAAAUAAAUUUUGUCCGUGUUGUGUUUUCUGAUUGGAAUUGAGAGCAACCUUUGAAUUUUAGUUCACAGCGGAAACUUGUGAAUUUAAUUUUGUUGAGUGUGUUUAUGUCCCUGAAUUGUCGUGUGAUUAUUAUUUUUUUCCGUUCCUUAUAUUGAACGGUCUUGGUUGGGAUAUUAUUUGUAAUAUGAAUAAACAAGAUCAGCUAUCGAAUUUAAGUAAUGAUUUGAUCUUGUGUGGGCUUGGUGAUCCCUUUCAAGAAUUUAGAUCUUAGUUGUUGAAUGAUAAUGUUAUACAAAUCUCUAAACAUUAUUCAUAAAUAUUGUUUCAAGGAUGUCAUUUUAUUAUUUUAUAUUAAAAAUAAUAUCAACUUAAAUAUUUGUUGAGGGAGGGUCUCUGGAGACACUUACACUCUCUAGAUCCUUCAUACAAUUCUAUAAUAUCGGAUUAAUAAAAAUGCUUUCGGUUGGCCUGUUUUUUUUUUCCAACAAAACUACUUUUAUCAGUUUUCAAAUUUUAAGUGUUAUUUUAUCUUUUUUGAGUGAGGUAGAUAACUUUUGAGAGAUGUUUAUUCUCACCUGCUUUCUCCUCCUUGUUUAUUCAUUUCAAGUUGAAGUGAGAUUAUUGUAUUGUGGUAGUAUGACUUGAUUUAAAAUGUACGUGUUCUAAUGAAUUUGUUGUUUUUUUUAGGUAUGUGUAAAUUUCACAAGAGAAUAAUAUAUUAUUCAAUGCAAAGAAUGACUUAUAUAAGCCUUACCGACUCUGAAAAAAAUAAACUAACUGCAACUGCAUACUAAGUGGCACUAAACUAGGAGUAAAUAAUGCAACAAAUACAGACCCGUUCAGCCCUAUAUUUCAGGGGCCUUAUUGACACGUAAAUAACUAACAUACCCUCCCUUAAGCUUUAGCUUAUUUCAGUAACUUCAACUACACCAAGCAUGUGUCUGAACUUCUCAAACUGAUCGAGCUUCACAGCCUUAGUCAUCACGUCAGCCACUUGUUCAUUUGUAUUGCAGUAUUUCAAUUGAACUACUUGUUCAUUCACCAAAUCUCGCAGAAAGUGAAAUCGUACUGCAAUGUGUUUACUUCUUCCAUGGAGAACAGGAUUUUUGGAUAAUUGAAUUGUAGAAUUGUUGUCACAUAGAAUUUUAGUGGCUUCUUUUUCUCCUAACCCAAGGUGCUUGAGAAUUCUUCUAAGCCAAAUGCAUUGACAUGCACAAGAUGCUGCAACAAUGUAUUUAGCUUUUGUAGUAGAUAAGCUAACUACAGGCUGUUUUUUUGAAGCCCAUGAUACAGCUGUAGUUCCCAUCAUAAAUACUGAUCCGGAAGUGCUUCUUCUAUCAUCUAAGUCCCCUGCAUAAUUGCUAUCACUGUAGGCUGUGAAACCUAUUUUUUUUCCUUUUUGAUAGAAAAGACCGUGGUCUAUGGUGCCUUUUAAGUACCUGAAAAUCCGUUUUGCUGCAGUCCAAUGUGACUCCUUUGGAUUGGCCAUGUACCUGCUGAUUAGACUUACUCCAUACAUCAAAUCUGGCCGCGUGGCUGUCAAAUACAUGAGACUACCAACAACUUGUUUAAACUUUGUGACAUCUAUUGGUGCUCCUACAUCAUCCUUAGACAAUAUAGUUCCAGGUACCAUAGGAUUGCGAACAAAAUUACUUUCUAGCAUGUUAAACCGAAGUAAUAUCUCACGUGCAUACUGUCUUUGACAGAUAAAAAUUCCUACCUCAUUCUGUAUAACUUCUAUUCCCAGAAAAUGUCUCAUUUUACCCAAAUCGGUCAUGUCAAAUUCUAACUGCAUAGAGCUUUUGCACUCUUCACAUAUAUCCUUGCAAUUUCCAGCAAAAAUCAGAUCAUCAACAUAGAGACUAACAAUUAAGAACUUGCCAUGGACCCUUUUUGUAAACAAGGUGUGUUCACUAGAGCAACGUACAAAUUUUUCUCUGGAAAAAUAGGCUUCUAUCUUACUGUACCAGGUUCGUGGAGCCUGUCUAGGUCCAUAGAGAGCUUUCCUGAGUUUGUAUACGUGAUUUUCUUUGCCCUUUGUGAUAAAUCUAGCAGGUUGUUGAACGUAUACCUCUUCUUGAAGUUCACCAUGUAGGAACGCGCUUUUGACAUCGAGUUGGAAUACUUCCCAUGAGUAUUGAGCUGCCACGGCUAAUAGCACCCGUACUGUGUCAAGUCUAGCUACAGGAGCAAAUACUUAUGUGUAAUUGAUUCCAUACUGCUGGGCAUAGCCUUUGGCCACUAACCUGGCCUUAUAUUUCUCUAUCUGACCAUGUUCAUUGAAUUUGGUUUUGAAGACCCAUUUCACGCCAAUGGGUUUAACACCAUCUGGAAGUUCUACAAGCUCUCACGUGUUGUUCUUUUCAAUUGCUUUCAUUUCAGUGUCCAUUGCUUCCUUCCAGUUCUGACUCAUGUAAGCUUCUUCAAAGGAUUGAGGAUCUACAGAAUCGAUUAUCAUCAUCGCCAGUAAGCUCUCCUCUUCUACAGAUAGGUUGGUCUCAUAGUCAAUCAUCCAUGAUGGUUGUCUCCGGGUCCUGAUUGCCCUCCCUUCAACUGCAGGAUCAGUGAAUGCUGAAUCUGAAGUUGGCUCGAGUGUUUCUGGUUGAUCAUGGCUGACUGUUAUUUGUUGAGAUGCAAAUUCUGCAGUUUCAAUUUCUUUGUCUCCCAAAUCAAGAGCAAGAGGUGUGCCUCCAUCUACCUGUGCAUUCCAAUUCCAACUCUUAUUUUCUUCAAACACCACGUCUCUGCUUACAAUAACCUUCUUUGUAAUAGGGUCAUAGAGUUUGUAAGCUUUUGACUCAUCACUUACACCUAAGAGAAUACAUUGUUGGCUCUUUGCGUCUAGUUUGCUUCGCUUUUGAUCUGGAAUGUGAACAUGUGCAACACAUCCAAAUGUGCGGAAGUAAUCAACACAUGGCUUCACCCCACUCCACACUUCUUCCGGAGUCCCUUGAUCUAUCGCAGAGGUUGGACUUCGGUUUUGGACAUGAACACACCAGCGUACUGCCUCAGGCCAGAAGGAUUUUGGAACUUGCUUGUCAUGAAGUACUGUUCUGACUGCAUUCAUGAUGAUACGAUUCUUACGCUCUGCAACUCCAUUUUGUUGAGGAGUGUAGGCCGCUGUCAAUUGUCUAGAGAUACCAUGGUGAUUACAAAAGGUUGAAAAUUCCUUGGAAUUGAAUUCACCACCUCGAUCAGUUCUUAAACACACAAUGUGAGUGCCAGCUUCUUUAUCAACAUAUGCUUUGAAGUUUUUGAAUGCAUUGAACGUUUCAGAUUUUGCAUGCAAAAAAUAAAUCCAAGUCUUACGAGAAUAAUCAUCAACAAAGCUUAAAAUAUACCUCUUAUUGCUGUGUGAAGCUGGCGAAAUGGGACCACAUACAUCAACAUGGAUUAAUUGGAGUUUCAUUGCUGCUCUCCGUGAACUUUGCUUUGGUAUGACAUCUCUAUGUUGUUUUCCCAUGAGACAGGUAGUGCAUAUAUCCUUGGGAGUUUUCAGAAAAGGUAGACCAAUUACCAUUUGCUUAUUUGCAAGUGUGAUGAGUCCUUUAAAGUUGAGAUGUCUAAAUCGUUUAUGCCACAACAAAGCUGCCUUAUCAGAAUCAUCUUCAACUUGGAGGCACUGAGAAUGCUGGGAGGUCAUUGAGACUGUCACAUAAAACAUCCUAUUUCCUCUCAUGUUUGUAUGAAUAAUCAAUCCUCUAUUUGGAUGGAAUAUCUUGCAUGUAUCAUUUUGGAUUAAGAUAGCCAGGCCUUUCUCUUGAAGUUGUCCCAAACUUAAGAGGUUGGUCUUAAGUUUUGGAACGUAGUAAACAUUGGAUAUAACAUGUGUAACACCAUUGAUUUGAACCCGAAUAUUUCCUCUGGCAACAACAUUCAAUGGUGUGUCAUUUCCAAGUUUCACAUUUUUAUUGAGCCCUUCUUCAUGAAUUUCUGUGAACCACUGCUUAUUACCAGUCAUAUGAUUACUACAUCCAGAAUCUAGAAACCAAUUUUCUCUCUGAACAGAUUGUGUCAUCUCUUCAUAUGCCACCAAUAGAAUCUCGUCUUCUGCCUUUGUUGCACCCUCACAUGCUGCAUAAUGAGCCUGCUUUUCUACUCCAGGGCAUUCGUAUUGAAAAUGUCCUAGUUUGUGACAUUGGAAGCAUUCAACAAGCGCCUUGUUGAAGGGUUGUCUCCCAUGUCCUCUUCCCCAUCCACGAUUUUCUCUACCGCGACUUGCUCCCGAACGAUCAUCAUGAAUGACUUUCAGCCCUUGUUCGUCAGGUUGAAAACUCUCCAUUCUUUGCUCAUGAACAAGCAAACUCCCAUGAAGUUCAUCAAGACUUAGGGUGCUCAAGUCGUUGGCCUCCUCAAUGGAGCACACCACGUAGUUAAAAUUUGGGGUUAAGGAUCGAAGUAUUUUGCUGACCACUGUGCUCGGGUCCAAUGUUUCACCAUUUACCUUCAUUUUAUUGACUCGGUGAGAGUACGUCCCAGGUAGCUAUCAAUUUUCUCACCGUCUUUCAUGUUCAGCAAUUCGAACUCCCGUCGUAGUGCUUGAAGUUGAGCCCGUUUAACUCGUGUUGAUCAUUGGUAUUUCUGCUGCAUGGACCUCCAUAUCGCUUGUGACAUGCUUUUGUCUAGUAUUGUUUCAAGGACUUCUUUAUCAAUAGCUUGAAACAAGUAGUUCUUUACUUUCAUAUCCUUCAGAUUCGCCUCAGUAGCAUUCCUCCGCUGUGCCUCUGUGGGCGUGGCUCCAAGUUUCGGUAUGCCUUCUUCUACUAAUUGCCACAGUUCCUUACUGCGCAGAAAGUUUUCCAUGGUCAUGGACCAGAAAUCAUAGUGGCCAUCGAACUUUGGAAUGGCCGGUUGAACAAACUUCUCUGGUGCAGACAUUCUUACUCUCACACUUCUCACUGAUAUUGCCCACACUCUGUACCAGAUUGUUCUUCACACAAGAUCUGGAUAAUUUCUCUCUGCACACGUAACUCACUUUCUGGAUCAGGCCCCUUACGGAGCUCUGAUACCAAUUGUUGUUUCUUUAGGUAUGUGUAAAUCUCACAAGAGAAUAAUAUAUUAUUCAAUGCAAAGAAUGACUUAUAUAAGCCUUAUAGACUCUGGAAAAAACAAGCUAACUGCAACUGCAUACUAAGUGGCACUAAACUAGGAGUAAAUAAUGCAACAAAUAAAGACUCGUUCAGCCCUAUAUUUCAGGGGCCUUAUUGACACGUAAAUAACUAACAGAAUUUACAUGAAUUGCAGAUGAACUCAUUGCCAAUGCUGCUUACAUUGGAGGUGCUUACAUUGGAGGGUAUUUGAUGAGAAUCAAAUAAAGGAGGCCUUUAUUAAUGAAGGAAGAGGACAUUCG